This 1754-nucleotide long non-coding RNA is filed under the name Mytilus galloprovincialis (Mediterranean mussel). The record is from RNAcentral. Lineage: Eukaryota; Metazoa; Mollusca; Bivalvia; Mytilida; Mytilidae.
AAGACAUUUUUAUGCAGUUAAGCUGCAUUAUGCGAGCACCCUAGAUUUGUGUUCUACCCAAUAAAUGCUGAAAUACUUGCCAUUGUUAUUAUCUAGCUCGCUACUAUGUUAUAUAUAACUAAUUGAACACUUUUUUAAUACUUUUUAUUCUGGAUUACAAAAAAUAUGACCAGAAAAACCUUAAAUGAUCGUCGAUUUAUCCAAAAGUUUUGAAGUUACACAUAGGAAGUAGUGCUUAUUAAGAAUCCUUGUGUAGUUCAUUAUGACUUGUGCUUUUAGCUAAGAUGUCAAAGAACAAUUGUAUGAAAUAUUUAAUCGCCGAAAAUCUCUUAAGACAAGUAGUUUAGAUUUCCCAAAUGGCAAAAGUCGUAGGGAUAUUGUUUGUCAUCAAUACGUAGUACAAUUACGUCAGUAGUCUAUUAUAUAAUAAGUUCAACUGUUCAUGCUGUUGGCGGCAAUUUCAAAUUAGAAAAAAGAAAUUUUCGUAGCUUUUCAAUUUGGAGGCAGGUGUGCAAAUUAGCGGUGGUCCGAGGUCCGCGACCUUCCACUUUUGCAAGCGGAAUUUCGACUAGGAUAGUUGGUUUUCUAGCUACGCCCGACGUAGUCACCUUCCACUUGAAAGAAAAUAAGAAAUUACUUUGCAAACCUUCCAUGCAAGUCACCAAAGUCUCCAAUUAAACGAGCUAAAAACUUAUUUUUAUCAUUAUUAUUCAUGACAGCGAUGUUCAUUUUGUUCAACCGCUAGCUUUAUACAGAAAAUCGCCGACAAAUAUUGUAUAAAUUCGAGUAAAAAUCGUAUCUGAUUGACAAAAACAACAUUGUAAACACAUAACAAUGGCGGCCGUGAAGACAAAAUUUUACAAUAUCGGAUCCGAUUCCGGAAGCGGAUAAGGAUAAUUCCGGGUUUGGCGAUCAAUUACAAAAUAAAUCAAAGCAGGUGAAAAAAUAAAUCUAUGCAUGGUAAAUGAAUAUAAACACUAGAAUUGUAAACCAAAAGAUAUAUGUAAAAGAAAGAAAAAGCAGAAAAAUAUUUUAUACAGAAACUCAAAAUUACUUUUUGACAAAUUUUAAUUUAAAAAUCCAAUACAACGUGACAGCUGGGAACAGUAUAUCUAACAAUAUACAUGUUCAUGGUCACAGUCUAAAUUUUCUUUAUCAGUGAUAAAUGAUGAUAAUGCAUGUGAGAUGCUUUUAAAGUGUAAACAUAUUACUGCAAUUUCGAAGGGUUAUUUGUUUUUCUCAAUUUUGAAGGGUCAAUUAAAGUAGCUGAAAGUUUCUUUCUUUAUUUUCACAAAUAAUGCAACUAUAUUAUAUAUACCUAAAUGUAAGUAAAUCAUAUGAUAUAUAGGUGGCAUUCUUUGGGCCACUCUACCCCUCCUGUUUGAUAACUUGGAAACGGUCGAGCUCCCACCCCUAAACCAUAUGAGGGGCAGAUCCAGGAUUUUAGGUUAGGAGGGGCACAAACUUAAAUUUUCGCCGAGCAGAGCGAGGCUAAAAAAAAUUUGAGGUAAAAUUAUCGGAAUAUUCUUUAUUAAGCUGAGAACAACCCAUGCUUUGCAAAUUUAAGGGGGGUGCAAGCCCGCAACACCACCCCCCCCUGAAUCCGCCCCUGCAUAUAUUCAAGUAUAGGACAAUAUAAUAAAUAAAAUGAAAUAUAGGGGGAGUCCCUGGAGUUACCCACCCCCUCCUGUUUGAGAACUUGGAAACGGUCGAGAUCCACACCCCUUAACCAUAUAUAUUCAUGUUUGUGACAA